UGGGGAAUAUUGGACAAUGGGGGCAACCCUGAUCCAGCCAUGCCGCGUGUGUGAAGAAGGCUUUCGGGUUGUAAAGCACUUUCAGUGAGGAGGAAGGCCUUAAGGCUAAUACCCUUAAGGAUUGACGUUACUCACAGAAGAAGCACCGGCUAACUCCGUGCCAGCAGCCGCGGUAAUACGGAGGGUGCAAGCGUUAAUCGGAAUUACUGGGCGUAAAGCGCGCGUAGGUGGUUGAGUAAGCGAGAUGUGAAAGCCCUGGGCUUAACCUGGGAAUGGCAUUUCGAACUGCUUGGCUAGAGUGUGGUAGAGGGUAGUGGAAUUUCCUGUGUAGCGGUGAAAUGCGUAGAUAUAGGAAGGAACACCAGUGGCGAAGGCGGCUACCUGGACCAACACUGACACUGAGGUGCGAAAGCGUGGGGAGCAAACAG
Molecule: ribosomal RNA, 428 nt
Filed under: uncultured organism
Description: bacterial SSU rRNA
Rfam family: Bacterial small subunit ribosomal RNA
Source: RNAcentral